UACAGAGGGCGCGAGCGUUGUCCGGAAUCACUGGGCUUAAAGGGCGCGUAGGCGGACUCGCAAGUCUGUGGUGAAAGCCCCCAGCUCAACUGGGGAAGUGCCGUGGAUACUGCAAGUCUGGAGGAGGGUAGGGGCAUCUGGAACGCUGGGUGGAGCGGUGAAAUGCGUUGAUAUCCAGCGGAACUCCGGUGGCGAAGGCGAGGUGCUGGACCCUUUCUGACGCUGAGGCGCGAAAGCCAGGGGAGCAAACGGG
Molecule: ribosomal RNA, 253 nt
Filed under: uncultured bacterium
Lineage: Bacteria
Description: partial 16S ribosomal RNA
Rfam family: Bacterial small subunit ribosomal RNA
Source: RNAcentral